UUGUGACAUUCUUUACAUGGACCUGGCGAUCGGGUUAGGGUAUAGGGUGUUACAAUUCACAUUAUUACUAGUAAUCCUAAGUACAUGCCAAAUUAAGGUCCAAAAUAUAUAUACCAAAAGGGUUGAACUUGAAGCUUGAGGAGUGAUGUAAUCCAAGCUGAAGCUAAAAUCCCCAAAUCUUCUAAACUUUAUCUUUUUACUUGCUCGUUAUCAAAUAACACAUUAAGCUCAUAGAGCUUAGUAAGUACCUAUAAUAGAAUUCAACAGCCUAUUGAUUCAUUUAUUUAAGCAUAUUUUAAAUCAUGUAAAUUAAAACAAAUGAAUAAACUACUUAUACUAUGAAAUAACUGUAAUACCCAAUUAUUGUCCGGGGCCCAAAACUGUUUACAGCCCACAUUUGGCCAAAUACAAACCAAAUACAUGAGGCCCAAUAAAGCCCAAACCAAUAACCCUAUACAGCCCAAAUUUUUCAAAGUCACAGAAAUCCUAGGAGGCUAAUGGUCUCGGCGCCGCAACCACCCACGUUCAGCAACUGUUCAUCAUCCCAUGACAUUGCUCGCACGUCUUCCACGAUCUCCAUACCUGCGAAAAAUUGAUCAAAAUGGCAGUAGAGGCAGCAAAUAAGAGGAGGUAGUUUUAUUUAUAUAUUUUUUAUUUUUAGGAGGAUUAUUAUUUUUUUGGGGGUGCGGCUCGGAUAUAAAAGGCUGAUUUCAAUUUGUAAUGGGGGUUAGACAAUUGUUGUAGUGAAAGACUGAAAUACAAACAAAAAAAAAUCAAAAAAACUAUUUGGAAGGUAAUUAGUUGACUCCAUUUUUCUUUUCUUUUCACUGUUUUGUUCCUUUUAUUUUUUUCCCUUGUUUUGAAAACGAAAACGAAGCAAAGAAGAAGGAAAAGGGUUCUUACCGGUGGUAGCGCGCCGUCGUGACGCCGUCGUCGUCGUUGUGGCCGGUCAAAAAUGGGUCUGAAAUGGUGGGAGGGAGGCUGCGGCAAAUACUAAAAUGGCAGAGAAAGGGUUUUGAAAUGGGAUUUUAUAAGGGUUCAAAAAGGGGCCAUUUGCGCGAUUGGUCCUUUUCUUUUUGGGGUUGUUUAAAUUAAAUUUAUUAUUUCUUUUAAAUUUUGCUGCAUAUUUUAAUAUUGUUUCAAUCCGGUCCUCGUUGCUGUGCAGUGUUUAGGAGGUUUGGGUAAAUUUCUUUUUAGGUCUUCCUCAUGUUACGCGCGUUUUAAUUUGCUCCUUUUCACAUUUUCAAUUUUUGAAUUUAGCCUUUAAAUUCUAUUUAUUUUCAAUAUUAAUCCUUCAUUUGUCAUUUUAAGGUUUUUUUUAUAAAUACUGUUAGAUUGUUAUUAUUACUGUAUUAUUAUUAGUAUUAUUUAAUAUUAUAUUAAAUAUUAAUAUUAUUAUGCCUAUAUGUAUAUACGCAUAUGUAUGUUAAUAUAUACAUGUACAUACUUUAAAAGGCUUUAAAAUAUAUAAACGUGUCUUAUAUAUUUUAUUAUUACUUUAUUUUUCUUAGUUUUAUAUGCAUACGUACUUAUACAUAUAUUUUAUGAAUUUCAUAUCAUUUUUCAUUUUUUUCCUUUUUAAAUUCUAUAUAUAUAUUUCUUUUAUAAUGUACAUAUUUAUACACAAUUCAAAGUUAUAAUAAAAAUAUUUUUCGCAUUUUAUAUAUAUAUUCAUAUUUUGAUAAUUUGCUAAUAUAUUAUGUUUAUACAUUUUUAUGUUUAUUAUUUUUAAAAUGAAUGUAUAUUUUAUUAUUGAUUCAUUUUCGUGAUUUUUGUAUACGUAUAUAUGCACGAGCAUUUUAUCAUGUUUUUGAAGAAAAUAUAUAUUGGUUCCAUCAAGGUAUUAAAAUUAUUUUUUAAAAAAAUUUUAAAUAUUUGGCAAUCAUGAUUCUCGAGAAAGAUCGUGUCCUAACUUACUGGAUCGUAAUCAUUUUUCGAUGAAUUUAGAAAGCUAAGUAUUUAUUUUAUAAUAAAUUCGCAAUUUUCAAAUAAAAGCUUAUUCUCGAGAAUAAAAAAUGCCGGGUCCUAACUUACUAGUCGUGACAUUUCGUCAUCUCGAAAUAAGGAUUUCUAAAACUAAAGGUGCUCUUCGGUAUUUGAAAUUCUGAGAAAUUGUGUCCUAAUUUACUGGGUUUCGAUUUUUCUUUAUUUGAUCUAAAUAAUCGAAUACCCUUUCAGAUUUAAUUGUGUGAGUUUUAAAAUCAAAAGACAAACUUAAUUUUAAAGAUUUAAAAAUAUUGUGCCCUAACUAACUGGGUGUGAUAUUUUAUUUCUUUGAAAUAGGAAUGUUUAUCUUGUUAAUUCAUCCUCAAGUUAAAAAAAUUUUUAAACUCUUUUCAAAUUUUCGACAUCAAGACAUAAAAUAAUCAAAUUUGGUACCGAUUUUUGGGCGUUACGAGGGUGCUAACCCUUCCUCGUGUGUAACUGACUCCCGAACCUGUUUUCUCAAAUUUUGCAGACCAGAAUUAUUUUUAUGGUGAGCCGAUCACACCUUAAUAAUGGAUCGGUGGCGACUCCAGUUUUUGUUUUUUAAAAGUCGACAACUAGUUUUUGUUUUUAAAAAAAUGGUUUCGACAGCUUGGCGACUCUGCUGGGGAGUUAGAGAGUCGAGCCAUGAAUUGAUUAUCUUCUGUCUUUUUUGUCGAAAAUUCAAAGUUGUUUUAAAACCUGAUUUUCCCUUUGCAUUCAUUAGUUUUAAUUAUUACAUGCUUGUUUGGUUGGUUUAAUUUUGUUGGUUUAUUUGCAUUUUGCAUUGCAUUGGUUGGUCAAUUUUACCCCUCUAAGUGGGAGUGAGAAGCUAGUCCUUCGUGAGGUUUUCACCUCCGUGCAAGGCAGUGGAUCGCUUCCUGGAUACAUCUGUACCUAUGUCUUCGUGAGAUUUUCAUCUCCAUGCAGCCAUAGGGAAAUGUAUCCCCCUGAACUGAACUCGAUCCAUAUGAGCCUAUAAUAGGUGAGGAUCGAGGAAUCUGCUGGUUCGGGUACCCUUGCUCUAGAAGCCAAAACCUCAUAUAGUGAACCUUAGGAGCCCACCCUAAGUAGAAUUACUUUGAACGUUAGUAGACACCUAAUUAGGAGUUUUUACUAUUUCUUGGUUGUAUUGUAUUUAAUUGUUACUAACUUUUUGUGUUUUACUCUGAUUACAUGGCAUUAUAAUUACAUGGCAUUCCAUUAUAAAGAGGCGUUGUUUCGUAUUCGGUUGCUAGACAGAAAGUUUAUCAUGGGAAAUGGGUUUCUUGAUAAAGUGGAAGAUAAUAUGGUUGCCUGAAUAUAUUCCGAGAAAUGCAAGAAAGAUGAUGGAGGAAUACAUGACUUUACUUCGUGCCUUAAGGUCAAGCUGAUUAUUCAAGAGUUUCUGACAUUCCAACUGCCUUAAAGAAGCUGAGGAGCAUUACGGGGAUGGGCAGACGUUGGAUUAUAACCAGGAUCAAACAGAAAGGAGGUAGAGGAGAUACCCCUUUUGAAGAAUUCGCAAGAUUUAUCUUAGCAUCCAGAUGAAGAAGGAGAAGAUGUCUUCGCCUGGAGUAUAAAGGCAAAGCCGUAUAUAUAUAUCCACUUUAUGUAAAGAAAUUUGUCUUCUAGUAAAGUUUUCUAAAUGGAAUUGAAUCAGAAUCAACAUCUCUUUUUGCAUUCAUCUCAUACAUUUGCAUUACAUUGCAUCAUAUGCACUAAAAUCCACCAAAAGAGCCUAAUCAAUUAAAAUUAUUCUUCAGUUAACCUGAAAACCAACCAGCCAACCUAGCCCUGUUACGGUACAAGAGCGAAAUCAAAGAAUAUGGAUCAAAGAUUAGAAAAGCUCGAGCAGUUCCAAAAAAAAAUACAUGAGCAGCUCCAGCAGCAGAUGCAGGAGCAGCUCGAGAAGAUUCAAGAGAAAAUGAUGGAUAAAAUGAUGGAAUCUCAAGGAAGUAUGAUGACAAAGUUAACGCAGUUGUUGACGGAAAGGAAAGAUAAAGGAAAGAGCCCCAUGACCAAUGUUGAGGAGGAAUGUGAUGACGGACCCCUGUAUCCUCCAGGCUUUACUCCUCCAGAUGUACAGCCCCAAGUGGAAAUGUACCCGCGUAAAUCUUCUGUUACCAUUAGGCCUCAACAAUUUCAGGCCGAUGCUUCAAAGGCGAUGAAUUACCAAACUGGAUCAGGCUCUAGCCCUGAGAAUAUUCCCGUCAGUCUUGUAGUCCCUGACUUCGAUGAGGUGGUCAAAAAGGAAAAAGCAAAGGAAGAAUUGCCAAAACAAUUGGAAGAAAGGUGGAAGUGGGUCGAAGAGAAGUUCAAGGCGAUGGAAAGUACUGAGAGAUAUGGUGGGAUUGAUGCUAAGGAUUUGAGUUUAGUUCGAGAAAUAUAAUGGAACUAGUUGCCCAGAAGCCCACAUCCACUAUGUUUUGUAGGAGAAUGACUGCAUAUGUUAAUAAUGACCAACUUUUGAUACACUGCUUUCAGGAUAGCCUCACGGGGGCAGCGUCUAAAUGGUAUAAUCAUUUGAGCCGUGCUAAGAUUAGUUCUUGGAGGGAUUUGACACAGACUUUUAUGAAGCAAUACAAUCAUGUGACAGAUAUGGUUCCUGAUAGAAUCACCUUACAGAACUUAGAAAAGAAAUCAAAUGAAAGCUUUAGGCAGUAUACACAGAGAUGGAGGGAGGUUGCAGUUCAAGUCCAACCACCGCUCAUUGAAAGAGAAAUGGUGAUGGUCUUUAUAAAUACGUUGAAGGCCCCAUUCAUCACACAUAUGUUGGGAAGUGCCACAAAAAGCUUUUCUAACAUAGUUAUGAGUGGUGAGAUGAUUGAGAGUGCUAUUAGAAGCGGAAAGAUUGAUGCUGGAGGAAAUAACAGAAAGCAAGCCCCAAAGGAAAAAGAAAAUAAGGUGAGCAACGUGAAUACGUACAACAAAUCGAUUACGGUGAAUCAACCAAGAAAGGUGGUUGCUAAUCAGUAGGGUUCAUCACGACAAGAAUCAGGUGUGAAGCAAGAUACUGAGAAACUCCAGUUCACACCAAUUCUAUUGUCGUAUAAGGAGCUUUAUCAAAGCUUAUUUGAUGCGCACGUCGUUUCCCCUUUCUACUCAAAACCCCCACAGCCUCCCUACCCCAAAUGGUACGAUGAAAGUGCACAAUGCGAUUAUCAUGCAGGAAUUACGGGAUAUUCUAUAGAAAAUUGCAUUGCCUUUAAAAAAAUGGUUGAAAGGCUGAUCAGUAUGGGCGUCGUAAAUUUGACGAUUCAUCCAGUGUAGAAAAUCCACUACCUAAGCACAUUUGAUAAUGGGGUGAAUGUGAUGCAUGAAGAAGUGUUGAGAGGUGUUCACAUCAAUGUCAUAGAUGAAGACACAAUCGAAAAGGGACCUUGUUAGAUAUCCACCUUUGUAAACCUGGGAGUGUUUUAAGCAAUCGAACUGCAGAAGAAAUAUUUGUAGUAUUUAGGGCUUAUUUAGAGCAAUGUUCAAAACACACUUGUUGCUUUUAGCCUAAAGGCAAUAAGAAUUCCUUUGUGAAAUAGGCUCAUGUCUGAAUGUCGUUAUUUUAGUGAAAUGCAUCCUUACGACCAUUUUUGAACCAAUAUUCUUUCAGUCUGUCUGAAUAGUUAUUCUUUCAUUCUUUUGGAUUUUCUUCCACAUCAUUCAUUCAUUCAUAAUCAUAUUGUACAGAUAGUUCUUCAUAAAUUUAUACAUUCUUUUGUAUAUUCUUUGGUAUUUAUUAUGGGCCCUUAUAUAUCAAUGACUUGAAUGACACUGCUACAGAUUUAGAAUCUCCUUUUGAGCAAGACAUGUGUUUAGAGGGAUCUCAUGACUUUGAAGAUGACAUAGAUUGUAGCCUAUCUCCAGACUUGUUGAGGAUGGUAGAGCAAGAAGAGAACAAAUUUUACCUCUUGAAGAGACAAUAGAGAUUGCGACUUUAAGAGAACAUGCAUAACCGGAUAAACAAAGCAAGAUAUUGUUGAGUUACUUCAAGAGUUCAAAGAUUUCUUCGCAUGGUCAUACCAGGAUAUGCCCGGGUUAAGCAUUGGCAUUGUAAUCUGAACAGCAGUACGAUAUCAGAAAUUUGCAGUUUGUUCAAGGUUAACAUCAUGAAUGAUGCUUUACUAGGGCAAUGACUUUCUCUUUGACUUAUCAUAGCUUUGCCCAUUGAAGUCGAGUUGCCAUCUCUCUGCAUUUUUGUUGGAUUUAUCCUAAUUGAAGAGAAAUAUCCGAAGAUUUCACCCCAAAAGGCUUUAUGAGAGAAACCUGAUACCAAAGAAGAUCUUUCGCAUAUAAAAUGAAAGUGGAAUAUCUUAUGGGGAAGACCUUAUCUGGAAUAAUAUUGAUUUUGAUUGAAAAGGAUGACCAGGACUUGCCUAAUACUAUGAGUGCGGAUUUAAAAAAAAAGGAAAAAGAAAAGAAAAACACAAAAAAUGAACAAAAAAACAAAAAACAAAAAUAAAAAAGAAACAAAAAAAACCUCGACCGGGGCAAUGUCUUUCUCUUUAGCUUAUCACGGUUUUUCCACUGAAGUUAAAAUUCUUUCUCUUCGGGUAUUGGCUGAGCUGAAGUAGGAUGAAGAUCCAAUCUCGAUAAGAUCAGUUGAACUUAAUUGAAGGAAAUAGGCUAAAAGCUAUUCGUCAUGGCCAGAUGUACCAAAAACAGAUGAUGCGAGCUUACAAAAAAAAAGGGGUUCAUCCUAGAGAAUUUCACGAGGGAGACCUGGUAUUGAAAAAGAUCAUUCCUUUACAAAAGGGUUUUAGAGAAAAAUGAGUGCCAAAUUGGGACUGUCCUUAUAUUGUAAAGAAGACCUUUUCUGGAGGAGCACUGAUCUUGAGUGAGAUGGAUAGUAAAAACUUGUCUAAUCUUGUAAACUCAGAUUCAGUCAAGAAAUACUUCAUUUAAAGAAGGAGAGGACCAAGGUAAAAACCUGCAAAGGGCACUUUGAGUUGCAAAAAAAAAAGGAGGAAAAAUAUGUGAAAAUAAUAAUGGAAAAAUGAAAAUAAAAAAUGGAAAAAAGUAAAAAUGGAGAGGCUAAGGUGAAAACCCGCAAAGGGCGCCUUAGACCAAAGGAGAUUUGAGUUGAAAACCCCAAAAGGGCGGCUCAAAUUUUGAUCAGAAUAGGGCUGGAAGUGAUCAGAGUGGCUCAGAUUUUGAUUGGAAUAGGGCAUGUGGUGGUCUUGAUAUACCUUAGUUAGCAGGAAAGGGUAUGCGACAUCUUGGGGCAUCGACAAAGUAUUGUAGAUAUCCUAAACACAUGUCAAACUCAGAAUGGUCUUCAGGAAGUUUGUACAGAGAAGUUCAAGUUGCGUUAUCUGGGGCACUUAGUCUUCAUACUAUUUAUAUUGAAUUGUCUGUUCUUGGAAUACUUUAUUCUUUUUCAAGAUACAAGUCAAUUCUUCUUGUAUUCUUAAUAUUCUUGAUAAUAUGUUCAUUUCAAGCUAUGUUCUCAAACUAAUUCUAUUUUAUCUUUUAUUUUGUUCUUUUUGCAAACGUGUUGCGUUAGAAUAAUGAUCAAUGGACUAAUAAAACUUUCACAAGGGAAGUUUUGCAUACUACUCUAGAAGUUUCUAAACAAUACAGUAACCUGAAAUAGGACUAUUGUUUAGAACGCACCAAGUUUAAAGGUUGAAAUAUCUGGGAAGGAAAGGUCUAAAUUGAGACUAUCCCUUCAGAUUUUGUUGUCAUAAUAUUGAUUGAACAAAGUGACAAGAUGUCGUGUUGGUGACAAAGCGUCAAAGAACAAGCAAGUAAUGAUCACUUUACAAUAAGAAGAGGUUUUCUCGGAGAAAGAAAUUCUUCAUUUGUGCAUAGGCAUUUGGUAUGACACUUUGAGAACGGUAUUAAGGACCAAAGUGCUUCACCUUACGAUAAGAGAAGAUUGAAAGGCCAGAUUAUUUUUCUACCCUUGGGUUAUAGCGGGAGAAAGAUGGUACCAAUGUUGCAUCUCAGUAGAUUGAACUUUGAAAUUCACAGUGGGGGGCAAUUUGAUUGAGUGUUUUUUUUGAAGAUGCUAGCCGAGCAAGAGGACGUAGUGCGUCAGUGAUACGACUUUAAUGAACUUUGAGUAAUGACUACCUAAGCGAGAUCAUUCUCGGAAAAAAUGACAUUCUGCAUUCAUUCAAACGUCAUUCAUACAUGUCUAGUUAGGAGCAUUUGAUUCAUUCUGAUCAUGAUAUCCUAAUCACUAGGCAUAAUUAGGUUCAUAACUUGAAUUAUACAGGUCAUGUUCCCUAGAGAACAAACCGGUGAAACUUCAGCCUUGUCUCCCUGGGCAGUAGUGGAGUAGGUUGAAAAUGGCAAAUCUUGCCUUCCUGUACUGACAGCGAAGCAGAUCAAAGAUACUAGCCUUGUCUCCCUAGGCAGUAGUGGAGUAGGUUAAAAAUGGCAGAUCUUGCCUUUCUGUACUGACAGAGAAGCAGAUCAAAGAUACCAGCCUUGUCUCCCUGGGCAGUAGUGGAGUAGGUUGAAAAUGGCAGAUCUUGCCUUCCUGUACUGACAGAGAAGCAGAUCGAAGAUACCAGCCUUGUCUCCCUGGGCAGUAAAGGAGUAGGUUGAAAAUAGCAGAUAUUGCCUUCCUGUACUGACAGAGAAGCAGAUCGAAGAUACCAGCCUUGUCUCCCUCGGCAGCAAUGGAGUAGGUUGAAAAUGGCAGAUAUUGCCUUCCUGUACUGACAGAGAAGCAGAUCGAAGAUACCAGCCUUGUCUCCUUGGGCAGUAGAGGAGUAGGUUGAAAAUAGCAGAUCUUGCCUUCCUGUACUUACAGAGAAGCAGAUCGAAGAUACCAGCCUUGUCUCCCUGGGAAGUAGUGGAGUAGGUUGAAAAUAGUAGAUCUUGCCUUCCUGUACUGACAGAGAAGCAGAUCGAAGAUACCAGCCUUGUCUUCUUGGGAAGUAGUGGAGUAGGUUGAAAAUAGCAUAUCUUGCCUUUCUGUACUGAUGGAGAAGCAGAUCGAAGAUACCAGUCUUGUCUCCCUCGGCAGCAGUUGAGUAGGUCGAAAAUGGCAGAUCUUGCCUUUCUGUACUGGCAACGAAGCAGAUCAAAGACAUCAAUCUUAUCGCCAUGACGUUGCAAUUAAAAAGAUUGAAGCCAGGAUGGCGGAUCUUAUUUUCCUGGCGUCGCAGCGCAGCAGAUUGAAGCCACGACAGCGGAUCUUAUCUCUCUGGUGUUAAGGUUUGGAUUAGUUGAAGUAGAGUGGAUUGAAGCUGUGGGCAGCGGAUCCUAUCUCUUUAGCAUUACAGUGGAAAAGAUUGAAGCCACAACGGCGGAUCUUACUUCCCUGGCGGUGCAGUGGAGCAGAUUGAAGUCACAACGUCAGAUCUGGUUUCUCCGACAGUGCAAUUAAAAAGAUUGAAGCCACAAUGGCGGAUCUUACCUCCUUAAAAGUUGAAUAGAUUGAAGCUACGACGGCGGAUCUUGUUUCCUCGACAUUGUAAUUGGAUAAAUUGAAGAAGAUAAUCCUAUCUCCCUGAGGUUACAGUGGAGCGGAUUAACAUCACGGAUCUUAUCUCUCUGAAAUUGCAGUAGAGCAGAUCGUAUCAAACUCAUCUUUGAGGUUUCAGCAGAAUAAGUUGAAGCUACGAGUCUUAUCUCCCUGAAGUUACGGUGGAGCAGACUGGAGAUUGCAAGUUUUGUGCUUUUGAGAAGUUACAAGAUUAAGUCCUAUCUCCCUGACGUUGCAGUGGGGUGGAUUGAAGCAUUAGUUUCUAUACCUCUGAAGAUGCAGUAGGAGGGAAUGAGGCUAUUUAAAGAAGAAGAAGAGCAUCAAGGUCCAGCAUGACCGGGCAAAAUUGGGCUUUUUAGUCUUUGCUCCGUUCUCAUUACAUGAAAAUGAGCAAAGAGGGGCAGCUGUAAUACCCAAUUAUUGCCCGGCGCCCAAAACUGUUUACAGCCCACAUUUGGCCAAAUACAAACCAAAUACAUGAGGCCCAAUAAAGCCCAAACCAAUAACCCUAUACAGCCCAAAUUUUUCAAAGUCACAGAAAUCCUAGGAGGCUAAUGGUCUCGGCGCCGCAACCACCCACGUUUAGCAACUGUUCAUCAUCCCAUGACAUUGCUCGCACGUCUUCC
Molecule: long non-coding RNA, 10008 nt
Filed under: Gossypium barbadense (sea-island cotton)
Lineage: Eukaryota; Viridiplantae; Streptophyta; Magnoliopsida; Malvales; Malvaceae
Description: long non-coding RNA (GBAR_LNC019062)
Source: RNAcentral